GCCGCAGUAAUAUGUGCAAAGGUAGCAAAAUCAUUUGCCCCCUAAUUAGGGGCCGGUAUGAACGGAUUUUCGAUGAACACCUGUCUCUUUUAAUCUACUAAAAACUAUCCUUCAAGUGAAAAGCCUUGAAUUCUAAUAGAAGACAAGAAGACCCUGUCGUACUUAAUUCCCACAAACAGCCAAAAAAGCUUACAAGAAUUUAGUUGGGGCGACUGUAGUACUAAACACCUAUAAUAAUAGCUCGAGCGACAACUCCUGAAAAUGACCCUAAUAAGAUCAUAGAAACAAGUAACCGCAGGGAUAACAGUCUAAUCCCCUUCCAGAGUCCGUAUCGACAAGGGGGCUUGGCACCUCGAUGUUGGCUUAGGGACUCUAAUACGUGCAGCAGCCUAUUAUAGAAGGUUUGUUCAACCUUUAAACCCCUACGUGAUC
Molecule: ribosomal RNA, 432 nt
Filed under: Thalassema thalassema
Lineage: Eukaryota; Metazoa; Annelida; Polychaeta; Echiuroidea; Thalassematidae
Description: Thalassema thalassemum partial 16S ribosomal RNA
Rfam family: Bacterial large subunit ribosomal RNA
Source: RNAcentral